CCCAAGAUUAGUUCUCCCUAGACUCUCGAAGUCUCUGAAGGGCCGUCGAAGACUACGACGUUGAUAGGCUGGGUGUGUACGUGCAGCAAUGCAUUUAGCUAACCAGUACUAAUUGCCCGUGCGGCUUGACCAU
RNAcentral lists this ribosomal RNA (133 nucleotides) under Gammaproteobacteria bacterium. RNAcentral describes it as "partial 23S ribosomal RNA". It matches the Rfam family "Bacterial large subunit ribosomal RNA", at positions 2798 to 2925 of the family's 2925-position model. The record is from RNAcentral. Lineage: Bacteria; Pseudomonadati; Pseudomonadota; Gammaproteobacteria.